Molecule: ribosomal RNA, 501 nt
Filed under: uncultured bacterium
Lineage: Bacteria
Description: partial 16S ribosomal RNA
Rfam family: Bacterial small subunit ribosomal RNA
Source: RNAcentral
AUUGAACGCUGGCGGCAGGCUUAACACAUGCAAGUCGAGCGGGGGAAGGUAGCUUGCUACCGGACCUAGCGGCGGACGGGUGAGUAAUGCUUAGGAAUCUGCCUAUUAGUGGGGGACAACAUCUCGAAAGGGAUGCUAACACCGCAUACGUCCUACGGGAGAAAGCAGGGAAUCUUCGGACCUUGCGCUAAUAGAUGAGCCUAAGUCGGAUUAGCUAGUUGGUGGGGUAAGGGCCUACCAAGGCGACGAUCUGUAGCGGGUCUGAGAGGAUGAUCCGCCACACUGGGACUGAGACACGGCCCAGACUCCUACGGGAGGCAGCAGUGGGGAAUAUUGGACAAUGGGGGGAACCCUGAUCCAGCCAUGCCGCGUGUGUGAAGAAGGCCUUAUGGUUGUAAAGCACUUUAAGCGAGGAGGAGGCUACUCUAGUUAAUACCUAGGGAUAGUGGACGUUACUCGCAGAAUAAGCACCGGCUAACUCUGUGCCAGCCGCCGCAGUAA